UUUUAAGCUACCAUUUGUAAAGGAGAUCAAUGUAAGGAAUUCAGGUUUAACUUUCAACAUUUCAUAAACAGUAUUUUCAGAAUUUCUUUACUGAAAAUGAGACUUUGAUAAAAUUCACUUUGGUUAACAAUUUUUAGAAUAUAUAUUAUGUAGUAAUUUGUAUUCUUUUAUUGUUAAUGUAGACUUUGACCUAGUUACUUCACAGAUACUCUGAAAGAUUGAAGUGGUUGUCAUAUAUUGGGGUGCUUUAACAUUAAAUCUUAAUUCUUUCCAAUGGACCUCUUUAUUAUGAUUUAUAUUUUAUGUCUUCACUUUACUAGGGGUGAUCCAUUCAUGUUGCAGCAGUCUACAAAUCCAGCACCAGGAAUUCUGGGACCUCCACCUCCCUCAUUUCAUCUUGGGGGACCAGCAGUUGGACCAAGAGGAAAUCUGGGUGCUGGAAAUGGAAACCUGCAAGGACCUAGACACAUGCAGAAAGGCAGAGUGGAAACUAGCAGAGUUGUUCACAUCAUGGAUUUUCAACGAGGGAAAAACUUGAGAUACCAGCUGUUACAGCUGGUAGAACCAUUUGGAGUCAUUUCAAAUCAUCUGAUUCUAAAUAAAAUUAAUGAGGCAUUUAUUGAAAUGGCAACCACAGAGGAUGCUCAGGCCGCAGUGGAUUAUUACACAACCACACCAGCGUUAGUAUUUGGCAAGCCAGUGAGAGUUCAUUUAUCCCAGAAGUAUAAAAGAAUAAAGAAACCUGAAGGAAAGCCAGAUCAGAAGUUUGAUCAAAAGCAAGAGCUUGGACGUGUGAUACAUCUCAGCAAUUUGCCGCAUUCUGGCUAUUCUGAUAGUGCUGUUCUCAAGCUUGCUGAGCCUUAUGGGAAAAUAAAGAAUUACAUAUUGAUGAGGAUGAAAAGUCAGGCUUUUAUUGAGAUGGAGACAAGAGAAGAUGCAAUGGCAAUGGUUGACCAUUGUUUGAAAAAAGCCCUUUGGUUUCAGGGGAGAUGUGUGAAGGUUGACCUGUCUGAGAAAUAUAAAAAACUGGUUCUGAGGAUUCCAAACAGAGGCAUUGAUUUACUGAAAAAAGAUAAAUCCCGAAAAAGAUCUUACUCUCCAGAUGGCAAAGAAUCUCCAAGUGAUAAGAAAUCCAAAACUGAUGGUUCCCAGAAGACUGAGAGUUCAACCGAAGGUAAAGAACAAGAAGAGAAGUCCGGUGAAGAUGGUGAGAAAGACACAAAGGAUGACCAGACAGAGCAGGAACCUAAUAUGCUCCUUGAAUCUGAAGAUGAGCUACUUGUAGAUGAAGAAGAAGCAGCAGCACUGCUAGAAAGUGGCAGUUCAGUGGGAGACGAGACCGAUCUUGCUAAUUUAGGUGAUGUGGCUUCUGAUGGGAAAAAGGAACCAUCAGAUAAAGCUGUGAAAAAAGAUGGAAGUGCUUCAGCAGCAGCAAAGAAAAAGCUUAAAAAGCGUCGUUUUCCAGGGAGUAUGGAAGGUUUUGUCACUCUAGAUGAGGUUGGUGAUGAGGAAGAUUCGGAACUUCAGAAACUUCGUAAAUCGGGCAUGGCAUUUAAAUCUGGUGACAAAAAUGAUGAUGGUUUGGUUGAAAUUAAGGUGGACAAGAUGGAGGAACUUGAUCAAGAAAACGAAGCAGCGUUGGAAAAUGGAAUUAAAAAUGAGGAAAACACAGAACCAGGUGCUGAAUCUGCUGAGAACGCUGAUGAUCCCAACAAAGAUACAAGUGAAAACGCAGAUGGUCAAAGUGAUGAGAACAAGGAGGACUAUACAAUCCCAGAUGAGUAUAGAAUUGGACCAUAUCAGCCCAAUGUUCCUGUUGGUAUAGACUAUGUGAUACCUAAAACAGGGUUUUACUGUAAGCUGUGUUCACUCUUUUAUACAAAUGAAGAAGUUGCAAAGAAUACUCAUUGCAGCAGCCUUCCUCAUUAUCAGAAAUUAAAGAAAUUUCUGAAUAAAUUGGCAGAAGAACGCAGACAGAAGAAGGAAACUUAAGAUGUGCAAGGAGAUUUAAUGAUUUCAAAGAAAAUAAUGGUUCUUUGUUUUUAAUGUUAACCUUUUUUAAAUACAAUACUGAUAGUUAGAAGAAAACUAUUGUACUCUUUUGUUUUAGUGGAGAAAUAAUAGAUGUCUGUUCAUGUGUUAAGUGUUAUAGCAAAAAAAAUACACAUGGUUAAGUUAAUGAAUAGUUUUUGUUUUAUCAGAAUGGCAACAGACAGAAGUACUUUGUAGAGAUUGACUUCCUA
This 2243-nucleotide small RNA is filed under the name Pan troglodytes (chimpanzee). Its description in RNAcentral is "retained intron". The record is from RNAcentral. Lineage: Eukaryota; Metazoa; Chordata; Mammalia; Primates; Hominidae.